Molecule: ribosomal RNA, 492 nt
Filed under: uncultured bacterium
Lineage: Bacteria
Description: partial 16S ribosomal RNA
Rfam family: Bacterial small subunit ribosomal RNA
Source: RNAcentral
AGUGAACGCUGGCGGUAGGCCUAACACAUGCAAGUCGAACGGCAGCACAGUAAGAGCUUGCUCUUACGGGUGGCGAGUGGCGGACGGGUGAGGAAUACAUCGGAAUCUACUUUUUCGUGGGGGAUAACGUAGGGAAACUUACGCUAAUACCGCAUACGACCUACGGGUGAAAGCAGUGGAUCUUCGGACCUUGCGCGAUUGAAUUAGCCGAUGUCGGAUUAGCUAGUUGGCGGGGUAAAGGCCCACCAAGGCGACGAUGCGUAGCUGGUCUGAGAGGAUGAUCAGCCACACUGGAACUGAGACACGGUCCAGACUCCUACGGGAGGCAGCAGUGGGGAAUAUUGGACAAUGGGCGCAAGCCUGAUCCAGCCAUACCGCGUGGGUGAAGAAGGCCUUCGGGUUGUAAAGCCCUUUUGUUGGGAAAGAAAAGCAGCAGGUUAAUACCCCGCUGUUCUGACGGUACCCAAAGAAUAAGCACCGGCUAACUUCGUG